Molecule: ribosomal RNA, 401 nt
Filed under: Campylobacter jejuni
Lineage: Bacteria; Pseudomonadati; Campylobacterota; Epsilonproteobacteria; Campylobacterales; Campylobacteraceae
Description: bacterial SSU rRNA
Rfam family: Bacterial small subunit ribosomal RNA
Source: RNAcentral
UUCGGCCGAGCACUCUAAAUAGACUGCCUUCGUAAGGAGGAGGAAGGUGUGGACGACGUCAAGUCAUCAUGGCCCUUAUGCCCAGGGCGACACACGUGCUACAAUGGCAUAUACAAUGAGACGCAAUACCGCGAGGUGGAGCAAAUCUAUAAAAUAUGUCCCAGUUCGGAUUGUUCUCUGCAACUCGAGAGCAUGAAGCCGGAAUCGCUAGUAAUCGUAGAUCAGCCAUGCUACGGUGAAUACGUUCCCGGGUCUUGUACUCACCGCCCGUCACACCAUGGGAGUUGAUUUCACUCGAAGCCGGAAUACUAAACUAGUUACCGUCCACAGUGGAAUCAGCGACUGGGGUGAAGUCGUAACAAGGUAACCGUAGGAGAACCUGCGGUUGGAUCACCUCCUUU